UACAGAGGUCCCAAGCGUUGUUCGGAAUCACUGGGCGUAAAGGGUGCGUAGGCGGGUCUUUAAGUCAGGGGUGAAAUCCUGGAGCUCAACUCCAGAACUGCCUUUGAUACUGAAGAUCUUGAGUUCGGGAGAGGUGAGUGGAACUGCGAGUGUAGAGGUGAAAUUCGUAGAUAUUCGCAAGAACACCAGUGGCGAAGGCGGCUCACUGGCCCGUUACUGACGCUGAGGCACGAAAGCGUGGGGAGCAAACAGG
This 253-nucleotide ribosomal RNA is filed under the name uncultured bacterium. RNAcentral describes it as "partial 16S ribosomal RNA". It matches the Rfam family "Bacterial small subunit ribosomal RNA", at positions 524 to 776 of the family's 1533-position model. The record is from RNAcentral.